RNAcentral lists this ribosomal RNA (271 nucleotides) under Heterosigma akashiwo. RNAcentral describes it as "partial Eukaryotic large subunit ribosomal RNA". It matches the Rfam family "Eukaryotic large subunit ribosomal RNA", at positions 641 to 914 of the family's 3401-position model. Lineage: Eukaryota; Raphidophyceae; Chattonellales; Chattonellaceae. The record is from RNAcentral.
UAAACGACCCGUCUUGUAACACGGACCAAGGAGUCUAACAUGCCUGCGAGUGUUUGGGUGCUAAACCCAUGCGCGUAAUGAAAGUGAAAUUUGCGAUCUCUGUCAUGGAGAGCAGCGAAGCCCGGUCUUGCGCUUUGGCAACGGAUCUGAGGUUGAGCAUGUAUGUUGGGACCCGAAAGAUGGUGAACUAUGCCUGAAUAGGGCGAAGCCAGGGGAAACUCUGGUGGAGGCUCGUAGCGAUUCUGACGUGCAAAUCGAUUUUCAAAUGCCG